Molecule: non-coding RNA, 72 nt
Organism: Lipotes vexillifer (Yangtze River dolphin)
Lineage: Eukaryota; Metazoa; Chordata; Mammalia; Artiodactyla; Lipotidae
Source: the annotation of a RefSeq genome assembly
UCCCUGGCAGUCCAGUGGUCAGGACUCCAUUCUUUCACUGUGGAGGCCCAGGUUCCAUCCCUGGCUGGGGAA